AGCAAGCUCAGAACAGCACUACUUCAGUUUGUCCCUACUGCUGCCAUUCUGGAAGUGAGAGAUGCACAAGCCAAACUCAGGGCUGUGCCAUCAAAGGAAACCACAUAUGCUCUUGGCCUGGCUAAACAUGGCACGGUUGGCACGUGGAUAAAGAAGGUCACUGUGGAAGCAUGAACAGAAACAGCACAACAUUUUGCAUGCAAAAAAAAAUGAGUCACAGAUACCUUAAGAAUAUAUUACUUAGAGAAGAGAAAAUGUAAACGGAUUACACAUUUGGGAAGGCGCAAGGGGAAUAAAUGGUUAAAGGAACUGAGAUUGGCCCCACAGGGUGGUUGAGUAAUAUAUGGAGUGUUAUUAGAUCAAAGUUCUCUAUCUCCAAAGAAAAAACAACCAAAAAUUGGCUUUAAGUCAGUCCAGAAAGAUGUCAGCUUAGCUUUUAGGAUGAAUUCUUGAUGUAUAAGUUGAUAUGUAUCAUAUUAGGUUACAAAGAGAAGUCUUGUAAUCUCCCUCCCAGGAGAGGCAUGAGACAGGAAAAGUCCAGUAAUGCGCACGGCCAUGUCAAGUGGCCGAUUCACCCAGAGCCAGAGGAACCCACCAGGAGACUUACCAAGGUCCUUAGAGGCUCGGGAUUUUCUCAUAAAACAAACACGAGGCUACAGAAGUGACUGCUCUGCCUCUUGUUCAGCAAUUUUAGCAAAUUCCAAAUACUUUUCCUUCAUACAAAUGAGGUUAACAGCAAGAACAGAUUUUACAAGGACAUUUUACAACCAAUCAGCACCUCGUGGAAUGAGAUAAAUACCUGCUUUUUUCCUUAAUAUGGUAAAUGGCUGGACAUAGUUUAAAAUAGAGCCAAAGCUUGGUGCAAUUAAAAAAAAUAGGUGACAAACAAGAGACAUGUGCAGGGCAAGCAUGUAAAUAGCUUUUGGGGAAGAAAGCUAAUGGAUCUAGUGUUCACACAGGGAAAUUUCACUAGACUCUUUAACCAAAGUCAAUCUGCCACGUUGAGGAAAUGCAGGAUCAGCCUUGAUACUUUUUGUCCCAAGGGAAAGUUGCCUGGUUGCCAGCAAAAAAAGAGAACUAUUUCCAUUUCUGUUCUUGCUCUGAACAGUGGGCUGAGAAGAAAUUGAUCUCAUGCGGAAGUCUACAAAGAGAAAGCCUUCUGUUCACUUCUUUCUCAGUUGAGACUUGCUCCUGCCAAACUAAAAAGACACACAUGGAAUCACAGACUCUUACAAAUAAAAGAAAUUUAGAAAGCUUGCAAUCUAAAACACACACGCAUCUCAAAACAUACCACUAGCUAAAGAAGGCCCGUAGCCCAAAGAAUAUUUUUCCUUUUCUCACAAGAAAGUUGCAGUCUAGGUUAGAAAACCUGCUGGAGGGCAGUCCCAUCUCAAGAACGCAAGAUGGUUGCCCCAGUUCACUCUGCACUGAAGUGAAACCUCCAGCUUCCUCCCCAGACAGGUCCUCCCCAAAGAGAUCACAGCAUCUCUGUUCAGAAAGAGAUCUCAGUAAUCUGUCUUAAUUGCUGAGCUUCUAAAAAGCUUUUGACUCCGCCACAGUUAUGCCUUAAAAACCCCCACACCCACACUCAGAAAUUUUUGUGUUUUAGCCAUAAAUUUUUUUUAAGACAGUUGAAUCAGAAACCUUGGGACCAUAUUGCUCUGCCAAAUAAGUCAUGUACGUGGAAACUGAACCCCCACUAGAAUGCCUCAAGUUGUGGCUAGGUGUGUCACUGAUCUCUUCUCUGUUUAAAAAAAAAAAAAUCCUUUCCUUCUGUUCCUUUACUUCUUUUCUAGGUACUAAGUAAAUAAGUAGAGAGUUUUGUAGUCCCCAGCUUGUACAGCUAACCCCUCAUAAAACAAUUCAUAUUGUAUAAAAUAACAAUGCUAUCCAUUGAAAUUAAAAUGGAAAAAUUUUAACUGUUACUCAGCAAAGACAACAAAGGUGUCCCCUUUCAGAGUUGAUAAGAGAUCAUGAGAUUGAAACUCUGCACAGCACUUUGAAAACUAGAAGCCCUAGUCUUAGGACCUCAUUCUUUUAAAGCCAAUAGCUUUGAAAGCUUGCUAGAUCUGAAACUGGCUCCAUCCUAUGUUAUGUUUUUGAUCUACAACACUGUGAAACAAUUACUGUUGUAAUCAAAUACACUUUGAUUAUUUACAGCUCUCUAUGCCAUUUACCCUUACAGAAAAUAGUUCUUAAACCAUAUGGAUAAUAGAACAAAGCAAAAUGGCC
Molecule: long non-coding RNA, 2232 nt
Filed under: Homo sapiens (human)
Lineage: Eukaryota; Metazoa; Chordata; Mammalia; Primates; Hominidae
Description: HSALNT0399588
Source: RNAcentral